UACAGAGGGCCCGAGCGUUGUUCGGAUUCACUGGGCGUAAAGGGUGCGUAGGCGGUUCUGAAAGUCUGUUGUGAAAUCUCCGGGCCCAACCCGGAAAUGGCAUUAGAAACUACAGGGCUAGAGGCUUGGAGGGGGAACUGGAAUUCUCGGUGUAGCAGUGAAAUGCGUAGAGAUCGAGAGGAACACCAGUGGCGAAGGCGAGUUCCUGGACAAGUCCUGACGCUGAGGCACGAAAGCGUGGGGAGCAAACAGG
RNAcentral lists this ribosomal RNA (253 nucleotides) under uncultured bacterium. Its description in RNAcentral is "partial 16S ribosomal RNA". It matches the Rfam family "Bacterial small subunit ribosomal RNA", at positions 524 to 776 of the family's 1533-position model. The record is from RNAcentral.